Molecule: ribosomal RNA, 196 nt
Filed under: uncultured bacterium
Lineage: Bacteria
Description: partial 16S ribosomal RNA
Rfam family: Bacterial small subunit ribosomal RNA
Source: RNAcentral
UAAUACGUAGGUGGCAAGCGUUGUCCGGAUUUACUGGGCGUAAAGGGCGUGCAGGCGGUUUGUUAAGUGCAGAGUGAAAGCUCUCGGCUCAACUGGGAGAGGUCUUUGCAUACUGGCAAACUCGAGGGAGGCAGAGGAAAGUGGAAUUCCCGGUGUAGUGGUGAUAUGCGUAGAUAUCGGGAGGAACACCUGUGGC